This 253-nucleotide ribosomal RNA is filed under the name uncultured bacterium. Its description in RNAcentral is "partial 16S ribosomal RNA". It matches the Rfam family "Bacterial small subunit ribosomal RNA", at positions 524 to 776 of the family's 1533-position model. The record is from RNAcentral.
UACGUAGGGGGCAAGCGUUGUCCGGAUUUACUGGGCGUAAAGCGCACGUAGGCGGUUCGAUCAGUCAGGGGUGAAAUCCCAGGGCUCAACCCUGGAACUGCCUUUGAUACUGUCGAUCUGGAGUAUGGAAGAGGUGAGUGGAAUUCCGAGUGUAGAGGUGAAAUUCGUAGAUAUUCGCAAGAACACCAGUGGCGAAGGCGGCUCACUGGCCCGAUACUGACGCUGAGGCACGAAAGCGUGGGGAGCAAACAGG